GAUUGCGUCAGGUCUUGACAGCGCUGGCUGAUGAGUGUCUUCUGGCUGCUGGUGCACGUUUACCGUGGAUUUUUUGAAAGCAACGUGACAUGGUUCUUGUGAAGAUGCAGUGGAAAUACUCAAAAGCCAACUGAUAUUAGGUCACUGGUGCUCAGAGGGCUCCCGAUUCUCCUUGGUGACAACCCCACAGAUUUCUUCAAAGCAUGCUUUGACUCUGAUGAUCAGUCAUUCCGCCACCUUGACCUUGGAAUCCUCCUUGUUGAGCAAGAAGGUAUUGUGUGCCCAUCUUCUCUUCACCUCAAUCCAACCUCAGUUAAGAUCAUCAUUGAGGGAGAAGUCGUGAUGGAAGGCAUUAAAGACUUGCCAAAAGCUGUGUGCAUUCUCUUUGGACUUGCAUAUGCACUGCAUCUCAAUUACCCCAAAUCGAUGAACACAUUCCAAUUCAUUCAACAAGUUCUCCUCAUGUUGGGCCACCGUGACUUAAAACCCAAGUUACAAACAUUAAAAGAUCAACUUACAAUUUGAUUGACAAAGGAGUUGCGGGAAACUACCAUCAGAAGCCAUGGCAGGUUAUUGUUCUCAAGAUGCACAAUGAAUCUUUGAACAGAUUCUCUUGUUCAGAAUGUCCUGUCACUGCAGUAAGUGACCCAAAGUUUAGCUGUGUUCUGUGCUAAAAGUGUUUAAAUCUGCAAAUUGUUGCUAUGUUAGUGAGUUAACGUAGUCAACUCAAGCUUAAACUUUUAGAGGCUUGCCUCAGGUUUUAAUGCUUAUCCAGUUUUAAUGCAAUUCUAGUCAUUCACAUGGAUAUAGCAUAUUGUUGAAUACUGUGUGUUCAUGUUCCUCUAAACAAUUUACAAUUGUUAACAAGCAAAAAUGUUUUCUUAUGCAAAAAAUGUUACUUGUCUUUUGGUUGAAAAGUU
Molecule: long non-coding RNA, 920 nt
Organism: Sinocyclocheilus anshuiensis
Lineage: Eukaryota; Metazoa; Chordata; Actinopteri; Cypriniformes; Cyprinidae
Exons: 4
Source: RefSeq, a predicted model, not a curated record